AUGGAACACACCAAAACACUGCAUAGAGCUUUGGCAAUCUCCCCGGCCAAGAUGGAGGCAAUGCAGUCACAGAGCUAAUGUUGGCUGAUCAAGAAAACCAUAAAGCUGAUUCAGCAGAGGUCUACAUUGCCUUUGCUAUGAUUGUGUCUGGACCACAUCUUGAUGGGAGGCCUCCUGGCUCAGAUACUGGGGCACUACCACUGCACCUCGAGAAUCUGCAAGCAAUAAUCUGUCCCAGAAAACAGAACAGGAAUGUCCUUCCAGUUUGAAGUGCCCCUCCUCGCCAUUUCAUGUUGAUUAAUGUGAGGAGAAAUCGUCUCUAAACAACGAUAGCUGGUAG
Molecule: long non-coding RNA, 340 nt
Organism: Stegostoma tigrinum
Lineage: Eukaryota; Metazoa; Chordata; Chondrichthyes; Orectolobiformes; Stegostomatidae
Exons: 3
Source: RefSeq, a predicted model, not a curated record